AGACUCAUCCAGCUGGUGCACAGAAGACUGCCAGUUCACCAAAGAAGCCAGGGGAAGGAGGUCGUCCCAUCCAAGUACUUCUGGAACAGCAGGCCAAACAACAGGCAUCCAUCAAGCUCCUGCAGGAACAGCUGAAGUCACUGGAGAGUUUCAAACAGGAGGCUUUACAGAGUUUCACUCAG
Long non-coding RNA from Branchiostoma belcheri (Belcher's lancelet), 182 nucleotides. RefSeq lists it as uncharacterized. The transcript has 3 exons. The record is from RefSeq and is a predicted model, not a curated record. Lineage: Eukaryota; Metazoa; Chordata; Leptocardii; Amphioxiformes; Branchiostomatidae.